Calypte anna (Anna's hummingbird) is the source of this 535-nucleotide long non-coding RNA. RefSeq lists it as uncharacterized. The record is from RefSeq and is a predicted model, not a curated record. Lineage: Eukaryota; Metazoa; Chordata; Aves; Apodiformes; Trochilidae. The transcript has 2 exons.
GGCCAGUUGGAUUCCAUGGAUUGUAAUUCUGUUUGAAGUUGCCUUGUUUCAACUUGGCACGUGCUACUAAAGAUAUCUGAGAGGACUUUUAAAACAAUGCCAGGACACAGACGAGUUGCAGGAUAAACCAGUUUGAGGCUGCCUGGUGGGCAGAGAGGGUCUGAGGUCAGGGAGGGAAGAGCAGUGGAUGUUCAGGCAGCUGCAAAGGGACCCUGAGCAGACCUGGAAGCAAAACUCAUCCUGAGUCUGCAUGACAUGAGUCAGUUAUAGGGUACCAAAACCAGUGUAGCUAUUUCAGUGUUAACCCUUUUGAGCAGCAGGAUAUAUCAGCCUAGAAGAAGUGUUGCAUAAAAGUGUCUAUAUUUUUUCAGGCCCUGUUAAACUCUCUCAACAUGCAGAAUUGUCAAUAUGGUUUAACACUUUUGCUUACAAAAUUAAAUCUGAUUAAUAUCUGUGACAGUCUGCCUCAGGUAGCUCUUGUAUUGCAAUAUUCAGUGACUGCUCUUCAUGUUUAAUAAAGCUGCUUAAAAUAGCA